GGACAGGGUGUAACGUGGCUCCAGGGGACGCUGCUCGAGAGCGUGCCGUGGGGCUGACCAGGCGACCGAAACCUUCGCCCAGAAGGUGGGUGGAUGGCAUUACUCUGCAGGGCCCAGCGCCGGGCCGGGGUGACUCCGGCCGUACCCCGGGAGCGGCACAGGUGCCGACCAGCUUCCCAGGCCCCAGGCCAUGGACGUGGGCCGGGCAGACUCUUCCUGACACCCCUCACCAGCUCCAGUCCUCGGGCCCUGGGGCCACGAUGGUGUCCUCUGCCUGGGGACAGAGGUUUCCCGGCCGCCACCCUGUUUUUCUGUGCAGUCCACCCAGCAGGAGUGGGGACAGAGGACGUGCAAGGCCAGAGCCUGUGGUGUCUGUGGCCGGGCCCUUCAUAGAAGGAGCUCACGGGUCCUGGCUGAGGAUCAGAUGUGUCUGUUGCUGCCACACAGCUGGGGCUACAGACAGGAGGCACAAGAAACCACCCUGAGCCAGGGCUGUGCAGUGAGUCAGGGCGUCCUCCACACACGGACCCACUGGACACUCACCCCAUGAGCCGUGUGUACCGUGGUCAGGCAGCCAGCACCCACUGAGGUUGGCCGUGGUACCCCAGCGCUGGCCACUGGGCUAUAUGGGCUGAAGCAUGCUGCUCUGGCAGGAAUCAGUUAGUCCUCCUACUCCAGGAGAGCCCUCCUAAGCCAAGGGGACGCACACUGUCUGAACAGAGUCCUUGGGUCUCACAUGUAACUGGUCACUUCAUUCUCGGUCACGCUCUCGGUCAAAUGGAAGUGCUCUCUUACUGCGGAGCACACACACAUUCACUGUCACUAACUGAGCAGUCACCACUGUUAGGGCUUCUGCUUUGCAUCUCUGAAACCUUGUCUGGUGCCCUGUUUGUGUGGUUUCCUUUCUCCCCCUUGCCUGGGACCUGCACGUUCACUGGCUGGGGCCCAGCUGGAGGACCAGCCAGACGCUGAGCUGAGAGGUCACACUGCCCGGGCCACCUGUCUGCCACCCACCUGUCACUCCAGGACAUACGGACAAGGUGGCUGGGAUGCAGCUCUCCGCCCACCCUUGGUGUCUCCACUGUGUGUUUGUCCGGAGAUCAUCGCACCCAGCGGAGAACCCAGGCCACAGUCUCUCGACCACGCAGAGCCUUUGCUGUGGCUGUGCCUCACAGCCAGCGCAUCCUGGGAGACAGGAAGAGAGGCCCUGUCUGAGGGAGCCUCACCUCCUCCUCAUGGACUGGGAUGGGGAGGCUCUCCGGCCUGUCCAGUGGGGAAGGCGUGUCCAGGUUCACAGGUAAAACAUGAACCAUCCAGUACUGAAGCUCUGCAGUGCAGCUGCCUCUUUCCAUCUCUUGAGCCCAGUUGACACCUGGUUUGGGAGCAGGAAGUUACCUGCCUCCUGGGUCUCAAGCACCAGGGCCAGGCAUGGAAGGAGCCUAGCCCGCAGGGCCACCGUGUGCCUCGACCCGGUGAGCCCUGAUGCCUCAGAGACGCAGAUACGGUCUGUGUGAUGUGGUCCCUGUGUGUGGUGGGAGGUGACGCUUUCAGCCUCAGUCUCCGGGAAGUUCCACAUGUGACAUCGCCUGACAUCACACCGACCCAUGCCAGCCCCAAGGCUGCUGACUGCGGCAGGGUCUUUGAGAGCCAAGAACCCACAUCCUGCUGCAGUUAGGCAAAGCAGUGAGCAUGAUUCAGAGAUGGAGAAACUGAGUGGAGGAGAUCUAAAUGAUGUCCCAGAGGGCGCCCUGCAAGGUCAGAUCUAGGAUUGAAAACCACAGCCCUGGCUUGGCCUGGAGUGUUGUCCUCCAGAUUUCCCCAUGUGUCCAGAGCAGAUGUAAAGAUCAUAAGAUGCUGGCCAGAAAACCCGUGUACUCUGGGAAAUGUCCAGAGGAGACCGACUUCCUUCCUUCCCUGAGAUUCAGCACCUGUUGCUGGGCUGUGCCCUCAAGGACAUCACCAUGGCUGGUAUCAUUUUACAUGAAGAUUUUCUUGUGACUGCAAUAAUCUCCAUAUCUGAAAACUGACUAAAUUCACAAUAAUAAGUUUACUAUUGUUUAGACAUUUAUUUUGUCAUUUUGAAUGGAAAGUACUGAAAAGUGAAAUUAAACAUAUAUGA
Molecule: long non-coding RNA, 2119 nt
Filed under: Heterocephalus glaber (naked mole-rat)
Lineage: Eukaryota; Metazoa; Chordata; Mammalia; Rodentia; Bathyergidae
Description: lncRNA (ENSHGLG00100052098.1)
Source: RNAcentral